UUGUGUGUGUGUGUGUGUGUAUGUGUGAAAAAUCAGAACUUGGUGAUGACCUUGAGCAACAGGAUAUACAUAACUGCCACAAGCUUAGCAUUCCAAUAGUGGAACACUAGGCAUAAAUGGGUUAUGGCUUCAGUAUCCUGCAAAAUAUCCCUGUAAGGUAGCUGUCUAUGCUUAAACACCUUGGUCUUAGGAAACUAGGAUUUGUGGAUAUUAGGCAAUGUUAUGGGCUGAUUGUGUCCCCUAAAAUACAUAGGGUGAAGCCCUAAGCUCCUACCAACUGUAUUUGGAGAUAAGGCCUUUGAAGAAGUAAUUAAGGUUUAAUGAGGUCAUAAGGUUGGCACUCUAAUCCACUAGGACUGGCGUCCUUAUAAGGACAGGAAGAGACAUCAGAGGUUCUCUUGAGCUCACAAAGAAAAGGCUGUGUAAGGACACAGCAGCAGAAGGCUAUCUGCAGCCAAAGACAGAGGCCUCAGGAAAAACCAAACCUGAUGACACCUCAGUAUUGGACUUCUAGCCUCCAGAGUUAUAUGGACCCACCUCUCUAUUUUCAAGAGCAUUAAAUUCAGUUAAAAACUAAAAACAAAAAUACUGCCAAGGGAUUGAGACGGUAAAGUAACAUCAUGCCUGAUAGAAUAAACUAUCAAGACAGCAUGAACAAACCCAACUGAAAUGGAACAAGCAAGCUUAACACAAGUCAAAGAAGCUCUCUAGAGUGUUAAAAUGAAAAUACAACUAAACAGAACCAAAACUGCUAUUCAUGGGAAUAGCAAAUGAAGAAUUUUCUUCAGAAUCUACACGGAUAACUUCUAUGAGAUUAUUCAAAAUGUGGAAAUUUUUUUCAGAAUUUUUGUUUCCAAAUGGAAUUUAAUACAUUUCAUGAAACAAAUGAAAUUUUAUCAGAAAUAAAACAUUUAAAUUACCAAAAGCCUAGCCUCCUUAGGAAGGCUGUUUUAGGAAGACAUGGGUAGAAAUAUUUUCAUCAAAGCCCUGAUCAUCUUCCCUUUUUGAGAUAAGGAAACUGAGGUGCAUUAUAAUAGCAACAGCAGCUGAUGUGUAGUAGAUCCAUACCACAAGCCAGACGAGGCACAAGUCAACCAGAGGUUAUGCAAUUAGCUUGGAGUCAAAGAGAAAGCAAGGAGUAGAGCUGAGAAGGAAACCCCAGUGUGAACUUGAUUUUUAUUCAAUCAAACUGUUAAGAUUGACUUCUAUACUUCUGGGCUAAAGGCAGCUCAAGAGUCAAUAAGAAUCACAAGCUUUCCACAGUGAGAAGAAAGUGCAAUUGCCCAGUCCUCUCUAUCUAUGAAGUGCAGACAGUAUUCCUCUUCCUCACCUCACACUUUCGAUUAUUGCAAUGGUGGAAACCAUGAUAAAUAAAAGCGCUUAUCUAGUGGUUUGGUUUUCACUAAAAUUACAGACUUCUGUAACAUUAUUUGGAUACCAUAAAACACAAACCAAAUUUUAGGAGAUGCUUUAGGGUGUUUUUUCCCCUGCCCUCCUGUCGGAAGCCCUCUAUCUUUUUACUGUAAUUUAUCUGAUAUAGCUACCAAGAUGCUUGAUACUUUUACAUGCAAGGGUGCUGAAAAACAAAGAGCGAGGGAAUGGGUUGUUAAUGAAAUUCUCUGAUUGUAAAAAGCACUCUGGAAUGAUCAGGUGGUAAAUAAUAAUAAGAGGAAAUAACAUAAAGUGCUUAGGUGCUACAGCGAUAGUCACCAUAUAAAUGCAGAAGAGAUCAGACAUGAAUAGAAUUUGCAUUUUAUGCAGCUGCUGUGUGUGUAUAUAGAAUAUACAGUAGCUAAUUUUUCAAUAAUGCUGGUAAAAUAUUGUUCAAAAUCUAUUCUUGCUGUCUUCUCACUUUAAAAGGCAUUAUAUAGAAAAACACCCAUCUGUCCUAGUGCAAUGGUGAAUGUGUGCAAAGAGCCUAGAAAAAGAGCCUCUUUGCAUACGUGAAAAAAAAGAACUCAAAUAAAAGGAGAUAAUGAAGAAGAGACAAUAGUAACACUAUUAGAACAGCUAUGCAGACAAGCACAAAGGUGAUCUUUGAAAAACAUCAGGGAUAAAUAACUCUGUUAAUGUGUGGCAGAGAAACUACAGUUAAGACAUACAGUAAUAUACCAAAAAUAUAGACAUGCUUUUAUUUUGUCUACUGGGCUAUUGUGAUAGUGAUGGUUGUUUUUGAAUAGAAAGGAAGAAGAGAGUGGGAAGUAGGAUUUCGUUGUUUGUUGUUACUGUUGCUGCUCAGUUUAGAACAACAACAUCAACUACACACCAGACCCGUCCAACAGUUCCACAAACAAUGCUUACCAUGAAUCUGCCCUCAAUUUUCUUGUUGUUAUUUUCCCUUAAUACUUAUUGAUAACCCAAUGCCCAUUCAUUAGAUAUGCUAAAUCCUCGUCCAUGGUUACUCUCCUUUGGAAGAGACUGAGAAGAUGCUAAGAGGGAGUUCCUCUUACACAUAAGGGAAGAGUCUGUUUAGGAAUCUGAGAAAGCAGAGGCCAGGAUAAAGAGACCACUAGUCAAUCAAUACUAAGCACCGAAGACUGAAUCACCCAAAGAUACAAUUAUCUCCCUUCCUUUGUUCUGUCUCUUAGUCAAAUAAAGGAUUGUUUGUAGAACCUUUUCUGUUCCUGAUCUCUAAAAAGCAGGACUGGACUUGCACAUCCAACUAUAAUUCAAAAUAUCUCACACUUCCAACUUGAAAGAAGACAUAAACUGUUUCAAAGAAACUCAGAGAGAGCAAAUGCAUAUUCACAAAACUUACACUUA
Molecule: long non-coding RNA, 2763 nt
Filed under: Homo sapiens (human)
Lineage: Eukaryota; Metazoa; Chordata; Mammalia; Primates; Hominidae
Description: HSALNT0313919
Source: RNAcentral